Molecule: ribosomal RNA, 118 nt
Filed under: Sparus aurata (gilthead seabream)
Lineage: Eukaryota; Metazoa; Chordata; Actinopteri; Spariformes; Sparidae
Source: RNAcentral
GCUUACGGCCAUACCACUCUGAACACGCCCGAUCUCGUCCGAUCUCGGAAGCUAAGCAGGGUCGGGCCUGGUUAGUACUUGGAUGGGAGACCGCCUGGGAAUACCAGUGCUGUAAGCU